ACGCUCGACACCUACGAGAGGCAGCAGUGGGGAAUAUUGCACAAUGGGGGAAACCCUGAUGCAGCGACGCCGCGUGAAGGAAGAAGUAUCUCGGUAUGUAAACUUCUAUCAGCAGGGAAGAAAAUGACGGUACCUGACUAAGAAGCCCCGGCUAACUACGUGCCAGCAGCCGCGGUAAUCUGAGCGGGCUGGCAAGGC
RNAcentral lists this ribosomal RNA (198 nucleotides) under uncultured bacterium. RNAcentral describes it as "partial 16S ribosomal RNA". It matches the Rfam family "Bacterial small subunit ribosomal RNA", at positions 328 to 539 of the family's 1533-position model. The record is from RNAcentral.